This 478-nucleotide ribosomal RNA is filed under the name uncultured bacterium. Its description in RNAcentral is "partial 16S ribosomal RNA". It matches the Rfam family "Bacterial small subunit ribosomal RNA", at positions 28 to 507 of the family's 1533-position model. The record is from RNAcentral.
GGUGAACGCUGGCGGCGUGCUUAACACAUGCAAGUCGAACGGGAAACCUUUUAUUGAAGCUUCGGCAGAUUUAGCUGGUUUCUAGUGGCGGACGGGUGAGUAACGCGUGGGUAACCUGCCUUAUACAGGGGGAUAACAGUCAGAAAUGGCUGCUAAUACCGCAUAAGCGCACAGAGCUGCAUGGCUCAGUGUGAAAAACUCCGGUGGUAUAAGAUGGACCCGCGUUGGAUUAGCUGGUUGGCGGGGUAACGGCCCACCAAGGCGACGAUCCAUAGCCGGCCUGAGAGCAUGGGCAGGGAGAAUGGGAGUGAGACACGGACCAGACUCCUACGGGAGGCAGCAGUGGGGAAUAUAGGAAGAUGGGAGAAAGCAUGAAACAGCAAUGCCGCGUGAGUGAUGAAGGCGGUAGGGUUGUAAAGCUCUUUUACCCGGGAGGAUAAUGACAGUACCGGGAGAAUAAGCGCCGGCUAACUCCGUG